RNAcentral lists this ribosomal RNA (253 nucleotides) under uncultured bacterium. RNAcentral's name for it is "partial 16S ribosomal RNA". It matches the Rfam family "Bacterial small subunit ribosomal RNA", at positions 524 to 776 of the family's 1533-position model. The record is from RNAcentral.
UACGUAGGGGGCAAGCGUUGUCCGGAAUCAUUGGGCGUAAAGAGCGUGUAGGCGGCCCGGUAAGUCCGCUGUGAAAGUCGGGGGCUCAACCCUCGAAUGCCGGUGGAUACUGUCGGGCUAGAGUGCGGAAGAGGCGAGUGGAAUUCCUGGUGUAGCGGUGAAAUGCGCAGAUAUCAGGAGGAACACCGAUGGCGAAGGCAGGUCUCUGGGCCACUACUGACGCUGAGAAGCGAAAGCAUGGGGAGCGAACAGG